UAAGCCAGUAUCUUUCAGUUAAUGAUUAGGUCUGAAAGUAAAAAAUUACCUUAUCUUGGAUUUCUCUCUUCUUUCUCUGUGAAAGAUAAGCUGCAGUAGGAGCUGGAUGCCCUGUUCUUCCAUGGUUCAACCACCCCCUGCCCUUAAACUGGUGCCGUCACCUCACCAGGGCCAUCAGCCACACUGACACCACUAUGAUGGAUAGCAAAAUGGCAUUUAUUGUGGUGCAGUUAGCACCUUAUAUACUUUAAUCACUUUGUCUAUGCCCCUUGAGAAGAUGUUUGAAAUACGCACCCGAUAUACAUCACAAGGUAGGGGAUGGAGCAGGGAGAGGGCACUGCCACGUCACAACCCGAAUCCUCACUAAUACCUACAACAGAUGUCAUAAUGGGCUCUGACUUGAUCCACCCAUACAAGGACCUGUAUAUAGCAAUAUCAUUCUCAGUACUGUCACAUAAGGCCAUACUACUAAGACGCAUCACCAAUUUUUGUUGCCCAGCGUUUCUAAAACAAAUUCCUCUCCUCCACUUCUUUUACUUUUUCUCAUCUGAGACCAACACAUGGAUCAUCCAACAAAACAUUCUUUUCUUUCCUUUUUCCUACCUCAACAUCAACAGGUCAUUAGUGGAUGGGACCUUGGCAACACUUUGUGCUGGUUCACAGUCGGGAUGUCUGCAGAGAGACCCUGAGAAGAUUCAUGCGGUGGCUUGCAGAGAAGUCUCUGCUGGAACAAGGACUGUCAUCAAAGUAUUUAGAAGACAAGAUCAUGAAGAAGAGCUCAUGAUUUUCACUGACUGAGAAAGACCAAAACCUUUGUAUGCAUACAGCUCUAAAAAUAUCAUUGUUGCUAUGACCAGGUGGUUGUCUAAGGUAAACACAGUUGACUUAUUCAGCAUUACUGAAGAUCCAUGAUCUCUCACACAUCUCUCAUUUUAUUUCCUUUCUUCACUUCAUUAUUCCUGCAGAAAUUUAUUAACAGUGAUGGCUGUAUGUAUUCUUUGAUCAGCAGAACUCAUUCUGAGAAAUUUAUGUGCUUUGUAAUUUUAGCAGACUACAUGGCUUCACUAAGGGCUAGGCAGGGGGGUUGGAACUACAUAAUCCUUGAGGUCCCUUCCAACCCGGGUCAUUCUGUGAUUCUGUGAUUCUGUGAAAUUCUGCUUGAUCAACCUAGUAUACUUCUGUGAUGAUGUAGAUGGGUAAGGGAGGAGCCACUGAUGUAAUCUAUCUGGACUUCAGUAAGGCCUUUUACACAUUGCCCCCUGUUCUUUUCUCCAAAUUGGAAAGGAUUUGAGGAGUAGCCUGUUCACUGGAUGAAGAAAUGGCUGCAAGAUUGAAUUCAGAAGUGACAGUCUAAGUCUCCAUGUCUGCAUGGAGAUCAGUGAUAAGUUUUUGUUCCACAUGGGUCAGUGCUGGGAUUGAUAGUCUUUACUGUCGUCAUCAGUGACUCUGACAGUGGGGUCAAGUGCAUCCUCAGAAAAUUUGCUGAUGACACCAAGCUGUGGGGUGCAGUCAACGCAUACAAGCAAUGGAAUGCCACCCAGAGGGACCCAGACAGGCUUGAGCAAUAAGCCCAGGAGAACAUCACAAAGUUCAGUAAAUCCAAGUGCAAGCUCUUCCAACUGGAUUGAGGCAACCUCCAUUACCAAUACAAGCUGGGGAAUUAAAUGAUUGAGA
This 1674-nucleotide long non-coding RNA is filed under the name Coturnix japonica (Japanese quail). RNAcentral's name for it is "lncRNA (ENSCJPG00005007441.1)". Lineage: Eukaryota; Metazoa; Chordata; Aves; Galliformes; Phasianidae. The record is from RNAcentral.